UUUUUUUUUUUUUCCUAUAUCUAUAAUUUCCUGUCUCAUUGAAGAGUCAAUUGGUAGUAUUCUGCCAUUUACUGAAGUUAACUUGUCUUUUUCUUGGCAAGUUUUGAGUAAAAGUGUCCCUCAUGGUUAAGCGUGUUCUAUUAUGUGUACUGAUAGAUGUGAAAAUCCCAAGGACUAAAUCUUAGGAGGUAAAUGAUUCUUUGCACUUCUUUUUUGUAUCUAGG
Molecule: unclassified non-coding RNA, 224 nt
Filed under: Hevea brasiliensis (rubber tree)
Lineage: Eukaryota; Viridiplantae; Streptophyta; Magnoliopsida; Malpighiales; Euphorbiaceae
Source: RNAcentral